RNAcentral lists this ribosomal RNA (479 nucleotides) under uncultured bacterium. Its description in RNAcentral is "bacterial SSU rRNA". It matches the Rfam family "Bacterial small subunit ribosomal RNA", at positions 28 to 526 of the family's 1533-position model. The record is from RNAcentral.
GACGAACGCUGGCGGCGUGCUUAACACAUGCAAGUUGAGCGACGGUCUUAUGAAGUAGUGAUACGGAAUGAGAUACGGAGCAGCGGACGGGUGAGUACAACAUGAGAAUCUAUCCCAUAACGGGGGACAACGUUUGGAAACGGACGCUAAUACCCCAUAGGCCGCGAGGUUAAAGCAGCGAUGCGAUAUGGGAGGGGCUCGUGUCCUAUCAGCUGGUUGGUGGGGUAACGGCCUACCAAGGCGACGACGGGUAGCCGGCCUGAGAGGGUGAACGGCCACACUGGAACUGAGAUACGGUCCAGACUCCUACGGGAGGCAGCAGUGGGGAAUAUUGGGCAAUGGGAGGAAUCCUGACCCAGCGACGCCGCGUGAACGAAGAAGGCCUUUGGGUCGUAAAGUUCUUUUGUACGGGAAGAAGGAAGUGACGGUACCGUACGAAUAAGCCCCGGCUAACUACGUGCCAGCCGCCGCCGUAAAAC